AUUGAACGCUGGCGGCAGGCCUAACACAUGCAAGUCGAGCGGAUGAAGGGAGCUUGCUCCUGGAUUCAGCGGCGGACGGGUGAGUAAUGCCUAUGAAUCUGCCUGGUAGUGGGGGAUAACGUCCGGAAACGGUCGCUAAUACCGCAUACGUCCUGAGGGAGAAAGUGGGGGAUCUUCGGACCUCACGCUAUCAGAUGAGCCUAGGUCGGAUUAUCUAGUUGGUGGGGUAAAGGCCUACCAAGGCGACGAUCCGUAACUGGUCUGAGAGGAUGAUCAGUCACAAUGGAAGUGAGACACGGUCCAGACUCCUACGGGAGGCAGCAGUGGGGAAUAUUGGACAAUGGGAGAAAGACUGAUCCAGCCAUGCCGCGUGUGUGAAGAAGGUCUUCGGAUUGUAAAGCACUUUAAGUUGGGAGGAAGGGCAGUAAGUUAAUACCUUGCUGUUUUGACGUUACCAACAGAAUAAGCACCGGCUAACUUCGUG
This 484-nucleotide ribosomal RNA is filed under the name uncultured bacterium. Its description in RNAcentral is "partial 16S ribosomal RNA". It matches the Rfam family "Bacterial small subunit ribosomal RNA", at positions 30 to 507 of the family's 1533-position model. The record is from RNAcentral.